UACGUAGGGGGCAAGCGUUAUCCGGAUUUAUUGGGUGUAAAGGGGGCGCAGACGGCGCGGCAAGUCCGGAGUGAAAUCCCAGGGCCCAACCCUGGGGCUGCUCUGGAAACUGCCGGGCUGGAGUGCUGGAGGGGCAGGCGGAAUUCCUAGUGUAGCGGUGAAAUGCGUAAAUAUUAGGAGGAACACCGGUGGCGAAGGCGGCCUGCUGGACAGCGACUGACGUUGAGGCCCGAAAGCGUGGGGAGCAAACAGG
RNAcentral lists this ribosomal RNA (253 nucleotides) under uncultured bacterium. Its description in RNAcentral is "partial 16S ribosomal RNA". It matches the Rfam family "Bacterial small subunit ribosomal RNA", at positions 524 to 776 of the family's 1533-position model. The record is from RNAcentral.